ACACCAGAUGUGGCAGUUACAUGUCACUCAGGCAGCAAGCGAAGGUGUCCUUGACACCCGUGGUAUAGCCAUGGCUAUACCACGAUAAUUUUUU
This 94-nucleotide non-coding RNA is filed under the name Vibrio caribbeanicus ATCC BAA-2122. RNAcentral describes it as "Vibrio caribbenthicus ATCC BAA-2122 Translational regulator of tfoXVC". It matches the Rfam family "Translational regulator of tfoXVC". The record is from Rfam by way of RNAcentral. Lineage: Bacteria; Pseudomonadati; Pseudomonadota; Gammaproteobacteria; Vibrionales; Vibrionaceae.